This 330-nucleotide ribosomal RNA is filed under the name uncultured marine eukaryote. Its description in RNAcentral is "bacterial SSU rRNA". It matches the Rfam family "Eukaryotic small subunit ribosomal RNA", at positions 619 to 949 of the family's 1831-position model. The record is from RNAcentral.
UUAAAAAGCUCGUAGUUGGAUUUCUGUGGGGACGGAGCGGCCGGCCGCCACUAGCGGUUCGAGCUAGCGCUUUCCCUACAUCCUGCCGCGAACCGCGCUACCAUUAGUUUGGUGGCGCCGGGGAUCGGCUCGUUUACUUUGAGAAAAAUAGAGUGUUCAAAGCAGGCCACACGCCUUGAAUAAGUUAGCAUGGAAUAAUAACUAAGGACUUCGGUUCUAUUUUGUUGGUGUUCGGGACUGAAGUAAUGAUUGAUAGGGACAGUUGGGGCGGUCCGUAUUCCAAAGCGAGAGGUGAAAUUCUUAGACCUUCGGAAGACGAACAGCUGCGAA